AUUGAAGGCAAUGAUGAUAAAUGCUAUAAUCCCAGCUCAUUAUGAGACCUCUUCAAGGUCUAGGAAUUUAUUCUACCCACUUUUAUCUGAGUGUAAU
Molecule: small nucleolar RNA, 97 nt
Filed under: Cephalotus follicularis
Lineage: Eukaryota; Viridiplantae; Streptophyta; Magnoliopsida; Oxalidales; Cephalotaceae
Source: RNAcentral